UACGAAGGGGGCUAGCGUUGUUCGGAAUCACUGGGCGUAAAGCGCACGUAGGCGGACUGUUAAGUCAGGGGUGAAAUCCUGGGGCUCAACUCCAGAACUGCCUUUGAUACUGGCGAUCUCGAGUCCGGGAGAGGUGAGUGGAACUGCGAGUGUAGAGGUGAAAUUCGUAGAUAUUCGCAAGAACACCAGUGGCGAAGGCGGCUCACUGGUCCGGUACUGACGCUGAGGUGCGAAAGCGUGGGGAGCAAACAGG
Molecule: ribosomal RNA, 253 nt
Filed under: uncultured bacterium
Lineage: Bacteria
Description: partial 16S ribosomal RNA
Rfam family: Bacterial small subunit ribosomal RNA
Source: RNAcentral